CAGCAGCCGCGGUAAUACGGAGGGUGCAAGCGUUAAUCGGAAUUACUGGGCGUAAAGCGCACGCAGGCGGUUUGUUGAGUCAGAUGUGAAAUCCCCGAGCUUAACUUGGGAACUGCAUUUGAAACUGGCAAGCUAGAGUCUUGUAGAGGGGGGUAGAAUUCCAGGUGUAGCGGUGAAAUGCGUAGAGAUCUGGAGGAAUACCGGUGGCGAAGGCGGCCCCCUGGACAAAGACUGACGCUCAGGUGCGAAAGCGUGGGGAGCAAACAGGAUUAGAUACCCCAGUAGUCCCUGUCUCUUAUAC
RNAcentral lists this ribosomal RNA (301 nucleotides) under uncultured bacterium. RNAcentral describes it as "partial 16S ribosomal RNA". It matches the Rfam family "Bacterial small subunit ribosomal RNA", at positions 509 to 807 of the family's 1533-position model. The record is from RNAcentral.